CCCUCAGUAACGGCGAGUGAAGCGGCAACAGCUCAAAUUUGAAAGCCCGCGGGCGUUGUAAUUUGCAGGCGGAUGUUUUGGGGCGGGCGCUGUCUACGUUCCUUGGAACAGGACGCCGCAGAGGGUGAGAGCCCCGUGCGAUGGCGCCUCCAACCGCGUAAAACUCCGCCGACGAGUCGAGUUGUUUGGGAAUGCAGCUCCAAGUGGGUGGUAAAUUCCAUCUAAAGCUAAAUACUGGCGAGAGACCGAUAGCGAACAAGUACAGUGAUGGAAAGAUGAAAAGCACUUUGAAAAGAGAGUGAAACAGCACGUGAAAUUGUUGAAAGGGAAGGGUAUGCGAUUAGCGGCCAGCAGGAGGUGCCUUCUCGUGAAAAGGCCGUGCACCGUCUUCGGACACCGUGCGCGGAGAUGGCGAGGGGGCGCCUGAGGUCUGCGACUCGAGGUUGCUGGCGUAAUGAUUGCAUACCACCCGUCUUGAACACCGGGGACACA
This 492-nucleotide ribosomal RNA is filed under the name Diutina rugosa. Its description in RNAcentral is "partial large subunit ribosomal RNA". It matches the Rfam family "Eukaryotic large subunit ribosomal RNA", at positions 77 to 664 of the family's 3401-position model. The record is from RNAcentral. Lineage: Eukaryota; Fungi; Ascomycota; Pichiomycetes; Serinales; Debaryomycetaceae.